Molecule: non-coding RNA, 2938 nt
Organism: Peromyscus maniculatus bairdii (prairie deer mouse)
Lineage: Eukaryota; Metazoa; Chordata; Mammalia; Rodentia; Cricetidae
Source: RefSeq, a predicted model, not a curated record
UCUGCCUGCUGAGUACUGGGACUGAAGUUCUCUGUCACCACACCCUGGCGUACAAAUAAAAUUAAGGAGAAUAAUCUUAUGCUUUUCUGACAAAAGACAGCUAAGAUCUAGACAAAAUUCCCAGGGUAGGCGGGAGGGUGGUUAUAGUUCCCCGCAGACCCCACAAGUAGUAUCAAACGCGCACGCAGGAUUGGGCCAACCACCACCUAGUGAUGUGCCUGUCAGCAUCGAGGAACUCCGCCUCAUGGACCAGUCCCAGCUCCCAGUGUUGGGCGUGGCUCACAGGAUAAGAUGAUUUUUUUUGUUACUAAAUGGCUGGGGAGGCAGAUUAGAAGACUCCUCUUUGAUGACCUGUGGAGAUCACAUGAAACAUUUCAGAGUCCACAAAGGAAGUGAGGGGACCCUACGUUACCUGUUCCCAUAGGUGUUCUCUGUGGCUGCUUUGGGGCAACAUAACAAGGAAACCUCUGACCGUCCUACUCACGGCCAGCACAUGGGGAACCGUGAGCAGGAGAUUCUGUGGAAGAAAACCCACUGUUCUGCCAUUUUGUUGAGCUGUGUGGGAGAGAUCUCCAAAGUUCAUCAAUGAAGAGAGUAGAAGGAGGAAGUGGAGGAAGGCUGCAGAAGAGGAGAGAGAGACCAUUACAACAGGGUAUGACGAGAAUGAUAAUGCACAAAAUGAGACGAGAGAUAAUGUAAACAGCUGUUGCCCCCAAGGAGUCCAGGAAACGAGAGGCAGACAGGAAGAAGCCCGAUCUCACUGAUGCUCCCUCAGGAGGAUCUCCAGUGCGUGUUCCAGCCCAGCACCUGGCUCCUACCUUGAAGGACCUCUCUACAGCGGUGUGCAGAGGUCCUGCCCUUCUUUAGGAAGAAGACAGUGUGAUGGAGAGUCCUCUGUUAUGCCCCCAAGCCAUCAGGGCACUUGAGCUCAUCUGCUGCGCCCCAAUUCUGGUGUUCAUCUCUGUGACAUCUCAACCCCCAGCGGCCAUGUCAAGACAGCCCAGAUUCACUCUGGUCUUCUAACCCUCCUCAAAUCAUUGGGUCCACCCUUCGCUGGAACUCAUGGUGUUCUUGGAUAUAGGUAUCGAUGGCUUAUGGUCCCCCCCAUCCCCACCUCACCCCAUCUCUGCACACAGCAACUGCCAAGAUCUUAUCUACAGAGUGCCGGAGCUAGGGAGAGCUCAAGAAAACUCACUGCCUCUCAAAGGUUUGGGUGUGCUUAAAGCUGAUUGAUAUGUCAAGCCUCUGACCCAAGAUAGCUCAGGGGUGUGGGAGUAUUUGCGGGGGAGGUUGGGAAAGAACUACCUCCUCAGAUCCACACACUCAGGCUCUCUUCAGUUUGUGGAGUUCCUGGACCGUGUAUCCUGAUUCAAAUGCUAGGCAAUAGGGCCCACGCUCCUGACCCGAAGAAAUGGUGUGUGUGUGUGUGUGUGUGUGUGUGUGUGUGUGUGUGUGUGUGUGUGUGUCCCGCGCCUCAAAUGGGUGAUACUCAAGUGAAUUCAUCUGGUCAAAGGUGACAAAGUCACUUUACAGAACUAGGCUAUGAUGGUUAUUGGCCAUUUCCACCCCUGACAGCUAUGGCAACUGCUCCCUUGCUAAUCAAGAAUCAAGCCCCGGGCUUGUACUAUAAAAUCAAGCCACUCUGACAAAAGAGCCCAGGAACUCUUACAGUAAAAUUGAAAGUAUAAACGAAUCGAUUUUCAUGCAGGUUGCAGACUGAGUUCGAAGAUGACCCUCAUAAACCCUGUCCCCUGGAGUGCACAGCUUUCACAGAAAAUGUCCCUGGGGUGUGAUUUGCUUCUAACUAACAGAAUUUGGCAAAUGAAGGGAUUUUUUUUUUUCAGAUGUAAUUGAGAUUCCAAAUUAGCUGAUUUUCAGCUAGUUCAAGAGGAGACUUUGUGGGUCUCAGAGGAUCUGACUUUGUCAGAUGGAGAGAUGAGCACCUCCCUUCCCUCAGAAGUUCGUCUUUCUAAUUUGAUGAUGCAAUCAGCUGCGUUGCAGAAGUCUACAUGGCAACCAGCAGCUGGUUUCUAGGAUCUGUAGAGACAUCUAGGUCAUGAGGUCAGCCUCUAGUUGACAGCCAGCAGAAUGUUGGUGGCUCCAUCCAUACAGGCAUGGGGACAUGAAGUCUGCCAACAAGCUCAACAAACAUGGAAGUCUUUCCAAGUCAACCCUCCAGAUGCCAACGCGGCCCGGCCCUUGUCUUCAUUGUGAUUUGUGAUAUCCCAAGCAGAGGGUCAUUCCUGGAUUCCUGACCCCCCAAAACUGAGGGGCCAAUAGUGCCGUAGACUUUGUUCUCUGUUCUUCUUUGCAAACAUUUCACACACCCCAGAUCUCAUUCCCAAAGAUGCAGAAAUUAUAUUAAGAUUUCUGAGUCAACACUGUGCAUCAGGGAAAAAUGUAUCUGUCAUGAGAAACUCUGGGAGAAUUUCUGAAAUUUCAAAAAUAAAAAAUUUAGGCCAAGCAUAGUGCACGCCUUUAGUUCUAGCACUUGGGAGGCAGAGGCAGGGAAAUCCCUGUAAGUCUGAGGCCAGCCUGGGCUACAAUAAAAAUUCCAAGCUAACCAGGGAUACAUAGUACACUGUGUCUCAAAAAAAAAUUGUGUGUGUGUGUGUGUGUGUGUGUGUGUGUGUGUGUAAAGUUUAAAUUAACAUCUGGAAUAGAUACUUUCUUAGAAAAGCUGGGUUUUGCUCGUUUGGAAAUAUACUUUGACAGACUGUGCAAUUGUUACUUAGGGCAUACAUUAGCAAAAACUAAAAUAUAUCUGAAUUCUUCUACAUCUCAAGAACUCAGAGGUGUGAUAGCCAUUUUCACUAGUUCAUUGUUAUUAUCCCCCAAAAACUAUUUUUAUUCACCCUCUUUUUUUAUUCAAAAGAAAACAUAUCAUAUAUACUGUCAUAUCUUGUUUUUCUCAUUAAAACAAUACAUCUUGGAGAUC